CUGCAAGCCUCCAGCGUGCUUGGGUCUGGGGGUGACCCUAUGCAUUCCUGUAGAAUUUGUGAGAAUAGUGUGAAACAGUUUGAGGCUUGUCCUGCUCCAUCCAGAACAAGGUUAUAAAAAUUUCAGACAAUU
Molecule: small nucleolar RNA, 132 nt
Organism: Sorex araneus (European shrew)
Lineage: Eukaryota; Metazoa; Chordata; Mammalia; Eulipotyphla; Soricidae
Source: Ensembl